RNAcentral lists this ribosomal RNA (253 nucleotides) under uncultured bacterium. RNAcentral's name for it is "partial 16S ribosomal RNA". It matches the Rfam family "Bacterial small subunit ribosomal RNA", at positions 524 to 776 of the family's 1533-position model. The record is from RNAcentral.
UACGGGGGGGGCAAGCGUUGUUCGGAAUUACUGGGCGUAAAGGGCUCGUAGGUGGCCAACUAAGUCAGACGUGAAAUCCCUCGGCUUAACCGGGGAACUGCGUCUGAUACUGGAUGGCUUGAGUGUGGGAGAGGGAUGCGGAAUUCCAGGUGUAGCGGUGAAAUGCGUAGAUAUCUGGAGGAACACCGGUGGCGAAGGCGGCAUCCUGGACCGAUACUGACGCUGAGGAGCGAAAGCCAGGGGAGCAAACGGG